Non-coding RNA from Peromyscus maniculatus bairdii (prairie deer mouse), 2123 nucleotides. Lineage: Eukaryota; Metazoa; Chordata; Mammalia; Rodentia; Cricetidae. The record is from RefSeq and is a predicted model, not a curated record.
CAGAGAGACACUGCAGCCGCAGCCAUGACCAGCAGCAUGUGAAGACGCUGUCUUCAAAACAGGAUAUUACACACAGAGAAUGGAGGCUGGAGAGUCCCUGGUCUAACCUGAGAACAACUGCUAGUUCUAAAAAUGUGGAUUUGUGGUAAGGAGAACCUGGCACCUUUGAGAGAAGGGUGGGCCCAGCUCACAAGUCCUGCCUGGGUUUGGACCUGUCCUACUGUACGAACAGUGAGAUGUCACUGCACUUCCUGUUUGGCUGAGGUACUGGGGAGAUGCUGGCCCUCGCAGAGAUCACGCAGGACUUGGUCACGGAAAGCAAGUAAUGAAACCAGCUCCGAAUAAGGAAAAUCAAAGGUGUGUACACGCAAGGAGAAACACCAGCCAGGAAGUGAGGAAGGAAAGAUACAGGCGAUCAACUCUUCAUCCUGGACCUAUGAAGACGAUGGUGCUAAGAAAAAAACGGGUAUUUGACCAUGUGCUCUAGUUAAAGUGUGGCCACAGGCUUCCUAAUAUAGUGGCUGGUGUGAAGAUGGAGGCAGAGGUUGGAGUUACCAUGCCCUGUACCAGCUGCUGGAAAUCAACAACAGCCAGAGAGGCUUCGAUCAUCGAGGCUUCGGACGGACAUGUGUCUGCCAACUUGAUUUAGAUGUUCUAGCCUCUAGAAGCAAAUCCAUGUUUGUUCUCUGGCGAUAUUCAGUUGGAGGCACUUUGCUGUGGUAGCUAAGAGUCCUCAGAGUUCCACCUAGUCACGUCUGAGGAAGAUGCCAGAACUGCCCCUGGGGCGGUCAGUCACUUUCCUCAGGAUGAUAUCCCUAUUUACCUCACUUCCUGUUUUUAGACAGGAGUGUCUACCUGUCUGAAGUGGGGGGUCACACACCUAAUCUAGACCUGCUGACAAGAGGAGAGAAGGCACCAGUCUGGCCUUUCAGGGUGGGGGUGGGGGUGGGGGUGACACAGCCGGCCUUGGUAGGUAAGCAGCUUCAGGUCCUUGGCGAGGAAAACAAGCCCACAGACAAACACAAACCCGAAAACUAUGUCCCCGCAACAGAUAUAUUAGUUAUGCUUCUUCUCACCAUGACAAAAUACCCAAUAGAAUACCCGAGAGAAGCACCUUAAGGAGGUAAGGGCCUGUUUAUGCUCUCAGUUCCAGGGGAUUCGUCCAUCAUGGUGGAGGAGGUGUGGCAGCGAGGGUAGGGACGCAAGGUCACAUUCUAUCCUACCAGGAAGCAGAGGAUGAUAGGGGCUUGAUCAGUGUGCCUUCUCCUCUCUAGUCCAUUCCAUGGAAUGAUACCACCCACAUUGAGGGGGCACCUUCUCCCUCAAUUAGCCUAAUGUAAAUCCCUCACAGCUGUGCCCCGAGACUCAAUUUUAUGAUGAUUCUAAAUCUCAUCCAGUUGACAGUCAGAAUUAAUCGUCACAACGUAAACAUGCAAGAAAGAAGCAGUUUAAACAUGGGAUAGACGGCAGAUAGUAAAAGCGAGGUUGAAGUUUGCAGAUAAUUUUUUUUUUUGACACACACUAGAGAGAUUACAAGCUUUUUGUUGUUUUCAGGUCCCUGCUAGAAGGCCAGGACUGUAUAGGUUUCCAUUAGGGACCUAAGGAAAGCCAUUGAUUGCCCAGACAUCUCUGCAAAAGACGAGGCAGGGAUGUGUUAAUGCAGAUGCUGUGCCUCCACAAGCCUGGGUAGACCCUGAGAGGGCCAGGGGCCCAGCACUGCACCGAGAGAGUGUGACUGACUCCAGAGCAGGCUCUGGGGCCGAGCCUCGGCUCCUCUGCUUCUCACUGGGCCUUGGUGAUAACUUUAUCUUUUGAAGUCUCAGUUUCCCCUCUAGCCAAAUGGGGCUAAUAAUAGUGAUAUCGCAGGGUUUCUGCAGGGUUGAAAUGACUUGCAUCCCAGAAGCACUUCACCCAAGCCUGGCUUGCAGGAAGUGUGCAGUGUCAGCCGCAUCCCUUCCUGAGUGCUGAGCUUCGGAAAGAUUAUCUUUAUCUCUUUUGGACUAUUAUUUCAAAGCACAGAACUCAUUAAAACCCAAAAGCUGUAACCAGAGAACAGAAGUUUUCUUUUUAACACUUUUCUUUUACCGUGUGCUGGGAUUGAGGGUAGCUUAAGCGUGUUCUCC